Molecule: ribosomal RNA, 397 nt
Filed under: Porphyra umbilicalis (laver)
Lineage: Eukaryota; Rhodophyta; Bangiophyceae; Bangiales; Bangiaceae
Description: SSU rRNA
Rfam family: Eukaryotic small subunit ribosomal RNA
Source: RNAcentral
CCWUGUCUAAGUAUAAACCUUUUAUACCCGUGAAACUGCGAAUGGCUCWUUAAACCAGUUAUAGUUUCUUUGAACGUACCUUACUACUUGGAUAACCGUAGUAAUUCUAGAGCUAAUACAUGCCUACACGCCCGACUCACGAAGGGUGGUAUUUAUUAGAUAAAAAACCAAUGCACUUUKGUGCUUUGUGAUGAUUCAUAAUAACUCUCGGAUCGCACGGCCUAGAGCUGGCGACGGUUCAUUCAAAUUUCUGCCCUAUCAACUUUCGAUGGUAGAGUAGUGGUCUACCAUGGUGUCAACGGGUGACGGGGAAUUAGGGUUCGAUUCCGGAGAGGGAGCCUGAGAAACGSCUACCACAUCCAAGGRRGGCAGCAGGCGCCCAAAUUAMCCAAUCCCA